ACGGAAGGCAGCGGCUAAGAAUAUUCCGCAAUGGACGAAAGUCUGACGGAGCGACGCCGCGUGGAUGAUGAAGGUCGGAAGAUUGUAAAAUCCUUUUAUGACUGAGGAAUAAGUGAAGUGAGAGAAACGCUUCAUGGUGACUGUAGGUUAUGAAUAAGCAACGGCUAAUUACGUGCCAGCAGCCGCGGUAACACGUAAGUUGCGAGCGUUGCUCGGAAUUAUUGGGCGUAAAGGGCAUGUAGGCGGUUUUGCAAGCUUGGUGUGAAAUCCCGGAGCUCGACUCCGGAAUUGCGUUGAGAACUGCAUAACUAGAGUCACUGAGGGGCAAUCAGAAUUCCAGGUGUAGGGGUGAAAUCUGUAGAUAUCUGGAAGAAUACCAAUGGCGAAGGCAGGUUACCAGCAGAUGACUGACGCUGAGGUGCGAAGGUGCGGGGAGCAAACAGGAUUAGAUACCCUGGUA
This 460-nucleotide ribosomal RNA is filed under the name uncultured Treponema sp. RNAcentral describes it as "partial 16S ribosomal RNA". It matches the Rfam family "Bacterial small subunit ribosomal RNA", at positions 341 to 792 of the family's 1533-position model. The record is from RNAcentral. Lineage: Bacteria; Pseudomonadati; Spirochaetota; Spirochaetia; Treponematales; Treponemataceae.